UUGAACUUGAAGCUGAGAUUUACAUUUUUGAAAUGUGUGCCCGUAGCACACAGUUACAGGUCUAGGCUCCCAGAAAUGGCCAGCGAGUGUCUCAUAAUACCCAAAUCUCAGAAUAUUUCUUUCUUUCUCAACUUUAGGAAAAGAAGCUGUGACCCUGAUUCUGCUUCGUAGCCUGAGUCCCGACUCCAGAGACAAAGGACUUCUUCAGUAAGACAGAAAAUUAUUUGAGGGAUGUUUAUUUCCUUCUAACUCUACGUGAGGUCAGCAAGAGACCAGAGGAAGGAGCAGGGUUAUCAAUAGAAAGGGUGAGUUAAAGGAUGAACAAGGCCACCGUGAAUCCAACCUCAGGCUUGGGAACUUCUGAAGGCCCCUAAGGAAGCCUCACAUUUCUUGAUUCUGCAGCUGGUUGACCAAUUAGAACUUCUGUGACUUGGGAGGCAACCAUGUUGCAGACAGAAUGCCAGCAUCCUACCACUAUCAGGUCUCACCUUCCUCAAACUAUAAAAUGGGAUUGCAUUGCCUACUGCGCUGAGUCACCAUGGAGAUGAACUUAAAUGAGAAAAUCCACGUGCUAUGAACACUGGAGAGACUACAAUGCUCUGCAGGUGUAUUGCAUGAUAGAAGAUGUGGGAAGUCCUUGUCCAGAAGAAAGGUCCCGAAACCAGCUACAAAAGCUAAAUGUAAAACACAUUGUUUGUUGGUCAAAUUGCAGAAAUGUUAGACUCUUCCUCUUGCCUUCUGCUCAGCUCCUCC
Meriones unguiculatus (Mongolian gerbil) is the source of this 753-nucleotide long non-coding RNA. RefSeq lists it as uncharacterized. The record is from RefSeq and is a predicted model, not a curated record. NCBI's taxonomy places the organism in Eukaryota, Metazoa, Chordata, Mammalia, Rodentia, Muridae. The transcript is spliced from 3 exons.